AACGCACAUUGCGCCCGCCAGCACUCUGGCGGGCAUGCCUGUCCGAGCGUCAUUUCAACCCUCGGGCCCCCGCGACAGCGGGACGGCCCGGCGUUGGGGAUCAGGGCCCGCCCCUGCCCCCGAAACCCAGUGGCGGUCGCGCCGCAGCCUCCCCUGCGUAGUAGCACACCUCGCACCGGAGAGCGGCUCGGCCACGCCGUGAAACCCCCCACUUCUCAAGGUUGACCUCGGAUCAGGUAGGAAUACCCGCUGAACUUAA
RNAcentral lists this unclassified non-coding RNA (259 nucleotides) under uncultured fungus. RNAcentral describes it as "partial contains 5.8S ribosomal RNA, internal transcribed spacer 2, and large subunit ribosomal RNA". The record is from RNAcentral. Lineage: Eukaryota; Fungi.